Molecule: unclassified non-coding RNA, 3979 nt
Filed under: Hevea brasiliensis (rubber tree)
Lineage: Eukaryota; Viridiplantae; Streptophyta; Magnoliopsida; Malpighiales; Euphorbiaceae
Source: RNAcentral
GGGCUUUGCUCGACUUGUGCUUUCGAUGCAUCAGAAACCAAAGGAGUGCAUGUUUUGUGGCCUAAAGAAGAAACUUCAAAAUGCAGAAGGUGGAGAGAAAACAAAGAAGAGAAGUGAGUAUUAAUUUUAGCUAAUAUUAUCUUAACAAUAGUCCCUCCAAUCCUCUAAAUCUUUUGUUUUCUUGAAAAAACCCCAGAAAGAUUCAAUACAAAUAAUUAAAAGUUUCAAAAAUUCAAAAUAAAUAAAUCUCUCUUGUGAUCUUGCUUUAGAAUUGAAAAAUCCUUAAUUAAUAAAAUUGGAAGCAAGCUUGUUUAUUAACUAAAUUAAAAUUUUGAGAAAUAGGUAGUAGGUGUCCUAUUUUGUAAAGGGGAAAAAAUUCAUAUUUACAAAAAAAGGGAAAAAUUCAUAAUUACGAGAAAAAGAAGAAUCUCCAGGAUUUCAGGAAAAAACGGUCAUCUUACGCCGUGGAAAGGCAAAGCCGCCAAUGGAGAAAAUAUGAAGUCGAGGGUUUUGCACUCACCGAAUUGGCCCUUUCGAGAGAGGGUCCGUACCCCUCUCUCUUUUUCAUCUAAUUUGAACACUCAAUCCCCACUGCCCCAAAUGGAGAAAACACGAGAAAUUGCGGUCUCCCAGAUGAGGAAAUCAGUUGAGAAGCUUGGUUCAUCAACUGAGAGUUAUGGGGAUACAUCACUUAUGAGAUUCUUGAUUGCGAGGUCAAUGGACCCAGAGAAGGCAGCAAAGAUGUUUGUACAGUGGCAGAAAUGGAGGGCUGCAUUUGUUCCUAAUGGGUUUAUAGCAGACUCUGAAGUUCAAGAUGAGCUGCAAACAAGGAAGAUAUAUUUGCAGAGUUUAACAAAAGAGGGAUAUCCACUGUUGAUUGUCAAAGCAAGCAAGCAUUUGCCUGCAAAGGAUCAUCUACAAUUCAAGAGUAAUUAGCUCAACUCUAUAAAUGCACUCUUUUUGUGACAAUUGAUUAGUUUAUAACUAUGCAUGCUAUUCAAUUUUUGUUCUAGUUAAUCAAAUUUGGUUUGAUUGGUGAACAAUUCCUUUUAAUCUAGAUUGAAACAUACAUGGGCCAUAUCAAGAACUAGUUUUGACAUAAAGGUGGGUGGAUGGUUGUGACUGUUUGGACUGUAUGGCUUGUUUCGUGUCCUGUGGGGUUCACAAUUCUUUCUUUUUCUUAUGUAUUCUGCCUUCAAUUAUUAAACUAUUCUGUCUGGUAUUGUUUAGUUAUUUUGUACUUUAGGAUCAUCAAUGCCCAAUGGAAAUAAUGUGUGGUCACAAUCACGAUAGGCAAGAAUGCUUUUUCUGGAAGAUGAUCCUCUUAUUAUAACUGUUGUAUUUGAAAUCUGCAAAAGAUGGAGCCCUUCAAUAUAAAAAAUGAAGAGAUUAGGCCCGUGAAUGAAAGCCUCCCAUCAACAGUUAGGAAAUAGCAUAUGGGACAUUUGAAUAGGAUCAGAAGUUCAGAACAAUAAUUGCUGGUUUGUUGGGCCGAUUGGUUUUGCCAUUUAUUUUUAACAAGCAUAUUUAUUGUGCAUUUUUUGUUUAUGAAUGAUAGAACUAUACAAAUUAGACUCUAUGAAUCUGUUAAAUGUCAGAAUUUGGACCUGUAUUAUCAACUGAUGUGGGAAGUCUAUUUGCUCUCUAUCAAUCAGUUACUUGUGCGUGGGAAAUCAAUAUUAUUCUCCAGGUGUUUCUGGAGUUUGUUUGUCCCUACAAUUACUUCUGUAGUCCACAAUCAUUCUUCAAGAAUGGUUUUGCAAAUCCCCUUUAAUAAAAUAUCUCCAUAUUCUUGUAUCUGCAUGCUUGACUGUGAGACUUGAUAAUCCAUAUUAUUAUCAAUUAUGUGUCCAUCAUUAUGUUUUGUAGGCUAAGUAAACAAGGGGAUUUCUUGUUCUCAUUUUGGAAUAUCUUUGAAGCUGCUUCAUGAUUGCAUUUGAUGAUCUCCCCUACCCAAAAAUAAAUGGGUGAAGAUGAUUACAUAAACCAAUAAGGCAUCUGAGCUUUUACCUUUUGUUCUCUUUGUGAAUAUAGAUAGCACGUUCUAUAGGUCAAGAUAAGCUGCUUUGGGAUUAGAAAUAUCCAUGUUUAGUACACCAACUAUAUGAUUGGGAUUGAUGAAUUGGAUCUCAAUUAGGAUAUCAAUGUUUAUAUUUCUGCAUCAUAUGCUGUAUGCUGUAUGUACAUAGCAAGACUACAAUUUAAAUAAGCUCAACUUCCCCCUUUCAUCAUCAUGAUAAUACCUAGGAAGUGAACAUUUAGCUCAUUUUGUUUCACUUCUUGGUGCAGAGUUUGUGGUUCAUUUGCUAGACAAAACAAUUGCAAGCUCAUUGAAAGGAAAAGAAAAAGGAAAUGAAAAGUUGAUUGCCAUUCUCGAUCUGCAACAAAUUACAUAUAGGAACAUUGAUGCACGUGGUUUGAUCAUUGGUUUUCAAUUUUUGCAGGUAACUCCUCUAUUUAUAAUUUUUAAAACAAUAAAAUAUUCUCUCUAGCAAUAGAUAAAACACAGGGAAACAAAGGGUUCAUGACGAAAAGGGCUAAGAAAACUUCAUAUAUGUAAUAGAGGAAAAAUUUAACAGUACCGGACAGCAGACACGUACCAAUAUAAUUUUUGGCAUGUCUUUUGUUGGAACCUUUGCUGUGGUGCAAAUCACACCAAGUUUUAAUUUUUAGUUUGCAAACUGGUUGGACUCAAAAUCCUUUUUUAUAUUUCAUCAGUUAAACUUGUGUUUUGUAUAUCAUUGUGAAUUCUGAUUCAUGCAGGCUUACUACCCUGAGCGUUUAGCAAAGCUCUUCAUUUUACAUAUGCCAUGGUUCUUUGUUAGUGUAUGGAGGAUGGUUUCUCGUUUCCUUGAGAAAGCAACACUGGAAAAGGUAUUUAUAUAUAUUAUGAUUGUAAAUUUAUGCAAAUGUUGGGAGUGGAUAUAGCAAUAACCCUAUGUGCAAGUCAUUUUCUUGAUUGUAAGUUUACAACAGAUUUAAUGCUAUCAGCAUCUUAAAAAAGUUCUGUUUGUACUUGCAGUUUUAGCUAUCUCCAACAUGUUAAUGUAUAUGGUCACUGAUUCUUAAUUGAAUUAAAAAAAAAAUGUUGACCCGAUGCACGAAGCAUUCUAUACUUGUGGACUCUAGAGAGGGUUGAUAUACGCAGCCUUACCCUUUGCUUUGUAGAGGUUUUUUCCAUGACUUGAACCCGUGACGUUGGUCACAAAUGGAGUAACUUUAUUGGUACACCAAAGCCACCCUCUUUGAUACUUAUGUGAAUACUGUACCUAAUCGAUGGGGUUUCUAAGCUAUUUUAUUAUUCUGAAGAGACAGUUUUUAAUUAUUGUUGUUAUUAGUGAUAUAAAGGGGCUUGGGAGUGGGGAGGGAAAAAUGUUAUUUGCUAAACUUGUGGCAUCCUGUUGGUUUCUCUCUGAACUUUAUUUAGCUAGCUAAUAGCUAUCCUGUAAUUUGGGUCACUUUAGAUUCCCCCUUAGCUAAGAAUUAUGUUUUGAAAUUGAUCUGUGAUAUUAAUGUAUCAUUCUACAUUAACUGGGUUUGAAGUUGGCUUUUGCUUUACGGUGAUGAAUGCAGAUUGUUAUAGUCAGCAAUGAAGAAGAAAGAAAAGAUUUUAUGAAGGAAAUUGGUGAAGAAUCCUUGCCUGAAGAGUAUGGUGGUCAAGCGAAGCUUGUAGCUCUCCAAGAUGUUAUUCUGCCUCAGUUGGAGGUUUGAACCCAAAAAUAGGUUAUUGUAGAAGUUCUAUAUAUACCAUAUAGAUGAUACUUACUGUCAAUAAGAGGUGUUGACUAAUUCCAAUUUGAAAACAUGUUAAUCAAUGUUGACUAAUUAUAUUCUCUACUGCUUUUGAAGUUCCCUUGUCAUUGACAUUAAUGGAAAGGUUCGUCAGAAUAAGAUGGUCUCAAUUGUUUGUGUAUCUGGAAAGUGAGGAAACUGAUUUUGCUAUUGACAAUCUGUCUUGGCUGAACUAUGGUUGCAGUAU